RNAcentral lists this ribosomal RNA (484 nucleotides) under uncultured bacterium. Its description in RNAcentral is "partial 16S ribosomal RNA". It matches the Rfam family "Bacterial small subunit ribosomal RNA", at positions 30 to 507 of the family's 1533-position model. The record is from RNAcentral.
AUUGAACGCUGGCGGCAGGCCUAACACAUGCCAGUCGAGCGGAUGAAGGGAGCUUGCUCCUGGAUUCAGCGGUGGACGGGUGAGUAAUGCCUAGGAAUCUGCCUGGUAGUGGGGGAUAACGUCCGGAAACGGGCGCUAAUACCGCAUACGUCCUGAGGGAGAAAGUGGGGGAUCUUCGGACCUCACGCUAUCAGAUGAGCCUAGGUCGGAUUAGCUAGUUGGUGGGGUAAAGGCCUACCAAGGCGACGAUCCGUAACUGGUCUGAGAGGAUGAUCAGUCACACUGGAACUGAGACACGGUCCAGACUCCUACGGGAGGCAGCAGUGGGGAAUAUUGGACAAUGGGCGAAAGCCUGAUCCAGCCAUGCCGCGUGUGUGAAGAAGGUCUUCGGAUUGUAAAGCACUUUAAGUUGGGAGGAAGGGCAGUAAGUUAAUACCUUGCUGUUUUGACGGUACCAACAGAAUAAGCACCGGCUAACUUCGUG